Spinacia oleracea (spinach) is the source of this 623-nucleotide long non-coding RNA. RefSeq lists it as uncharacterized. The record is from RefSeq and is a predicted model, not a curated record. NCBI's taxonomy places the organism in Eukaryota, Viridiplantae, Streptophyta, Magnoliopsida, Caryophyllales, Amaranthaceae. The transcript is spliced from 3 exons.
UAAAAAAAAAACACGCAAAAAACUUUACGUGGAACAUGUCCAAUUUUUCUUGAGAGAGACUGAGAGAAAGAAAAAAGUAGUUAGGGUUCAUCAAAAUUUUGGGCAAAGUCUAACAAAUUGGUCUGCAAUUCGCAAUUAGGGCUCGAGCUUAUCUCGAAUUUCUUGCAAUUCUCUGCGAAAUUGUCUACGAAGUUCUCUGCGAAAUUCGAAUGCGAAAUUAGUCUAUUCAUCGAGUGGGAGGAUUGAAUUGGGGCUUUCCAUUAAUAAUUCGAAUAAGUUAAGGAGGAGAAAUUCUACUUCAACCAUCUACUACUAUUCACGAUGUCACGUCGGAACAUAGAUAAUCUCAGUCCAACUGCUAUUGCAAUUGUUUGAGGAGCAUGUUGCGCUAAAUGGAGAAGAAAUAUAGAUCUAGCAAUGAGACGGUGGAGGCUCUUAUUUGUUUUGGGUUGUUUUGUAAUUCCUAGUAACGUUGAAUUUCUUUCUAUGGAUUUUAAUUUUAUGUACUUUUGUCAUUAAAAACACCAAAUUAAUUAGUGAACAACUAUUUUGUAAUGCAUGUGUUCUAUGGGCACUAAUAUUGUAAUAUUACUUUUCAAGUCAAUGAAAAUCUUUUGUUAUUA